Molecule: ribosomal RNA, 459 nt
Filed under: uncultured bacterium
Lineage: Bacteria
Description: partial 16S ribosomal RNA
Rfam family: Bacterial small subunit ribosomal RNA
Source: RNAcentral
CCUACGGGAGGCAGCAGUGAGGAAUAUUGGUCAAUGGCCGUAAGGCUGAACCAGCCAAGUCGCGUGAAGGAAGAAGGACCUAUGGGUUGUAAACUUCUUUUAUAGGGGAGUAAAGGUAUCCACGUGUGGCUAUUUGCAUGUCACCUAUGAAUAAGCAUCGGCUAACUCCGUGCCAGCAGCCGCGGUAAUACGGAGGAUGCGAGCGUUAUCCGGAUUUAGUGGGUUUAAAGGGUGCGUAGGUUGUGUUUUAAGCAGCCGUGAAAGUUUGGGGGUUAACCAUAAAAUUGCCGUUGAAACUGGGAGUGUUGAGUGUGUGUGAGGUAGGCGGAAUGCGUGGUGUAGCGGUGAAAGGCAUAGAUAUCACGCAGAACUCCGAUUGCGAAGGCAGCUUACUAAGCCCUAACUGACACUGAGGCACGAAAGUGUGGGGAUCAAACAGGAUUAGAUACCCUUGUAGUC